Molecule: long non-coding RNA, 867 nt
Filed under: Sinocyclocheilus anshuiensis
Lineage: Eukaryota; Metazoa; Chordata; Actinopteri; Cypriniformes; Cyprinidae
Description: lncRNA (ENSSANG00000040087.1)
Source: RNAcentral
AACAGAGCUUCUUCACGUGUAAUCAGGAUUUUUUUUUACAUUUUAUUUCAGGAGCUGGAGCAGAUACAAGCGUUGAAUGGAAUUCUGGAGGCGUAUCUGGAUUGGAAACUUCACAAACCUUUAUUCUGGUGCUGGAUGGACAGCGUGAUCGACAGCUCCCUCGUUGAUGCGUCCGAGGUCGAUCCUGCCGAUUGGCCACCAGGGGAUCGGGCUGUCACGGUGAGGUGUCCCCACGGAGACGAGACCAGGAGAGCAGUCAGACGACUUGACAAGAUGUUGCUAAGGCUGCAGACAGAACUGAGAGCCAGAAGAAUAGAGCAGUCCACUCUCACACUCACCUCACAGCAUCCACAGCCCACAAAGCCACCUCACAGGUUCCACACCAGAGAACCUGGCCUGGAAGUGACAGCUGGGAAGCUCCAGGCAUCGACAGCUCUGGACGAGCUGAGGGAGAGGGAGGCUGUACUGCAGUGGCAGCUGGAACGAUUGAGGCAAAGUAUGAGAGUGGAAAUGCAGAGACAGGCCAGCACAAUGGAGCGGAUGGUUCUCAUCCCACCAAUUAAGAGAUAAACACACUUUUUGUGUCACUGUAUGCACUGGGAUCUGGACAGUCUGCAUUUUGAGUCCCUAAAUAAAGUGAACAUAUUCGUGUUUUGGUUUUUCGCCUUUUCUGUGGAAUUAAAACUCAAACUUAUGAACGUUCUGCAUUAGAGAAUGUUUUGUAAUCAAUUUUUAUGUAUUUAAAAAUGACUGCCGCUGUGUCAAUGUCUGUGUGCAUGGAAAAUAAAGAAACUUCAAGGCCAUUUUGUCUGUACUUGGAUACUUACACUGAAAAAAUAUUAUUUUGACUACUGAAAUGCAUCAAGC